GCGUACGCUUCACUUUGUUGCAAAAAUAAAUUGAAGGGAAAUCCCAAGUGACAUUCAACUAGAAUAUAACUGCGGACCAUUUAAAUGUACAUUUUCACAUCAUCUGGACAAGGAGAUGUCUUAUAGCACAAUUUUGAAACAUGCACGACAAUGAGCUUGUAUUGAAACCAUCUCACAUUAUGCAUUAGCAUCAUUCAAAGCUAUCUAUUUAUAUAUAGCCACCAACACACGCUCUAGAUCCCUAAUUUCCAACCCCGAAAUUCUUUUUUUUUUUAAAUUUACUUUCAGGGCCUCAAUUCUACCACAAGUCAGAAAUUUACAAGAAUGUGAUGAAAGGGUUUCCAAUCAUUAGUGACCCUUGUCUUCCUCAUCGAAAUGUAGGCUCUCAAUUCCUUUCAGUGUGGAUUCAUAGUUCUUCACACCAGGGCCAGAUGAAGCAUGUUUAGGAUCUGAUGAUCCAACAAGAGGGGAGAUUCUCUGUCCACUUGAUAUUUUGUGCAUGGUUGCUGGACUAGCCUCAGGCGCUCGAGAACGUGUAGGAUCAGAGUCAUUUCCUACAGUGAAAGUCUCAUGGCUGCCAGACACUAGACCUCGCCGCAAUGAUCCACUUGAUCGUCCCAGGAAAGUGGAGCUUGGCAACUGAAAAAUUGGACGAUUCAUCAUAAUGUGGCAAAAAAGAUCACUUAUCAUAUAUAGCAUAUAUCAAGUUCCAUAUCAACAACUUGAAACACUAUUAUCUUCUUUUGUUUUUCUUGGGACUAAGGAAAUACAGAACUAGAUUCUUUGUCCAAAUCAUCUGAAUUUUGAAGCAAGAGUUAUUUUAGAACUGGCAGAGCACUUCAACAAAACGACAGUUACACACUUGCAC
RNAcentral lists this long non-coding RNA (868 nucleotides) under Solanum tuberosum (potato). Its description in RNAcentral is "long non-coding RNA (STUB_LNC005716)". Lineage: Eukaryota; Viridiplantae; Streptophyta; Magnoliopsida; Solanales; Solanaceae. The record is from RNAcentral.